CAAAAAAGAAGAAAAAAACUAACACAAUGAGAUUUUGGGUUCAAUGCAAGUGUUCAACAAAUCAAAUCCAGAGAAACAAACUAAACACGUCUGAAGCACAAACUUUUCUUAAUAAAAAUCAUUCAAAACUUUAUUUUGAGACUAAUCCCUAAACCAAAUUCGCAAGAACAAAAAGAGACAGUAACCGCAACCACUAAUAAAUCCCUAUACGAGCAAAUUCAAGAUGAUGAUAUGCGUGGAAGAAUAAAAAAAGAAAAGGGAUGGAUCCGACCUGCAGAUGCUACGAAUACGCCCUAUGCUUCUCACACAGUGACCCAAGGUAAAAUCACUCGACCUUUUGGAUGCUCCUAUCUUAAUCCUUAUUUUCUUUCUUUGCAUUUUGAAAUCAUGUGUUGUUGUGGUAAGGUAUUUUUAAUAAUGGUUGAAAUUUGGAUAGUUGCUUGAAUUUUUUUUCUUUUCGAUUUUUGUUGAAUCUAAUAUUUGGUUUUCUUUGUGAUUUCUAAUGUUUCAAGAUUUUGUGUUUCAAAAGUAAAUUCUCGUAUUUUAAAUGUAACUGGGAUUUUCAAUUUUUGUGAUGCUGAGAUUUUGAUGGUUUUUGGGAUCUUGGAUUGGGUUUUUGUUGUUGUUCCCCUCCCUAAAAAAAACCCUGUGAUACUCUGUUAUACUCUUUUUGCUCUUGACUUUUUGAAAUAUGUUUUGCUUAGAAAAAUAUGUUAAUUGCACUAUUCUGCAACUACUGCAUCAACAAGACAAGAAUAUGUCCAAGUCAAAGAGAGCAGAGUUCAAGUUGUGUAGAGAAAUAAAAGAGACAAACUAGCUCUUAGUCAUUGUGUAACUAAUAUACUUGAAGAGUCCCUUUGGUUUUGU
This 867-nucleotide long non-coding RNA is filed under the name Lathyrus oleraceus (garden pea). Its description in RNAcentral is "Pisum sativum (pea) long non-coding RNA (PSAT_LNC034984)". Lineage: Eukaryota; Viridiplantae; Streptophyta; Magnoliopsida; Fabales; Fabaceae. The record is from RNAcentral.